Molecule: long non-coding RNA, 949 nt
Filed under: Pan troglodytes (chimpanzee)
Lineage: Eukaryota; Metazoa; Chordata; Mammalia; Primates; Hominidae
Description: lncRNA (ENSPTRG00000054333.1)
Source: RNAcentral
UUGCUUAUGAAAGGUUUAAGGAAGCAAUAACAUUUCCAAAUAAGGAAGAGGCAUAAGCUAUGAGCUAAGACUUGCCUGGGCCUGUCCAGACAUGCCUGGGUAAGACAAAGCAACUAACUGGGCUAAAGUGUAAGAACUAAUAGUUGAUAGGAGGCUUUAGAGUAAGAAGCUAUUAUUUCUAGUGUCUAUUAUUUUAUUUUUAAACCAAGACAAGCUUUGAAGGGAACUUUUUUACUUUCUACAGUGUGUGACACAUGUGCUCAUGGAUUAUUGUCCGAAGCAAGUCAUGUGACCAAGCUUAACAUCAACUGGGUGAAGAGCUAUAUGUUCCUUUCUCAAGAGGCACUACAAGUGACAUGCCAACGGGCAGCCUCUCAACUCAGGAGAUACAGUGUGGAAGAUCUUAUUGAAACCACCUUUGCAAAAAUUAUAACUGAGAAAACUAUGACAAUGAAAGAGAUCUACCUGAUUCCAUCUUGCUUCUAACCUCUACGCUCUCCUAAUUUAUACCUGGGUUUAGGCAGAACUAUUUUUUGGAGGAACUUAGUUUAUAGUUUAACUUUGGAACAAAGAUGAUCACAGCCUCAUCCCAAAACAAACUCCCUUCCUGCCUGGAGGCUAGAUUGCCUUUGUGGGACUAACAAAUUAGCUACAAGAUUAGAGAUUAUGAUUUAGGAGUCAUGCAUCUGGAGGCUACAAGAUGCUGAACCUCCCCAAAUUGCUUCUGGGGAUAACAUUACUUUUGUAAAACCUGAGAUCAGUGCUUGAGAUAUUUUACAGACACUGUACUUGAUGGCUUAUUUGGUCUUGUGGCCCCCACCCAGGAAUUGACUCAGUGCAAGAGGACAGCUGGGACUCCCAAUGAUUUCAUCUCUCACCGCACCAGUCAGCACUCCCCACUGUCCAACCCCUGCCACCAAAUUAUCCUUGAAAACCUCGAUCCCCAGGU